GGGAGAGACCUGGGCUCUUCCCUCAAUCUAUUUUUCGACUUCCUUCAAAGGAAAGAAGAUCCCAUUGGACCUUCCCGAUUGGAAUUGGCUGAUUGAGUCUGAUGGAGAGAGCCUGGAAUCUGCUGCUCUGCUCGCUCGGGUUGGAUGAGACUAGCCAAAGGCAGAACUCUAGGCCCACGCGACAUUGGUGAAAUCUGGAAGGAAGUCCAGAGAAGUCCAAUCUCCCCGCUCGCUGUCUGGGCCCAGCUAGCCCAAGAAGGAGUCAGAGAAAACCAUAGGCAACCAGGCUUUCGAGGAAAGCAUCUGGAAGGGUCACGGGGAGCCCAAGAAGGGAAAAUGAGCAGCCAGGUUGGGUACAGCCAUUUCUGAAAAAUUUCUCCUCCGGCGUUUAACUAAGAACGGCUGUAACAGAUUUACCAUUAUAAACGCCUGACAAAGUAUUCGAUAAUCUGCCCGAGCAGUCCCCCACCUCGCUAGCGAGAGGUAGGAAGUAUGUUUCAAGGAUUUGUCGGGGACUAUCGUAAAUUGUUGAUUGUUGGAAAGGAGGGGGUAAAAAUGGUUUAUACUUUCGUCUUUACAGCAGUCGUUUCCUGCCUACCUCCAGUUCGAAUUCUCCCUUUGGACAAAAAACAAUAGCAAGCAAAAUAUACAAACAAUACAGAGACCUCUCCCCAUCUGAUAAUGUAUAUACUAUUCCGGUCUAGCAGUUCCCCACCUCU
Molecule: long non-coding RNA, 719 nt
Filed under: Monodelphis domestica (gray short-tailed opossum)
Lineage: Eukaryota; Metazoa; Chordata; Mammalia; Didelphimorphia; Didelphidae
Description: lncRNA (ENSMODG00000048269.1)
Source: RNAcentral